Molecule: ribosomal RNA, 477 nt
Filed under: uncultured bacterium
Lineage: Bacteria
Description: bacterial SSU rRNA
Rfam family: Bacterial small subunit ribosomal RNA
Source: RNAcentral
GACGAACGCUGGCGGCGUGCCUAACACAUGCAAGUCGAGCGGGGUUGAAGCGAGGGGUAACUCGAACUUCUACCUAGCGGCGGACGGGUGAGUAACGCGUGGGCAACCUGCCUCAAGGUCUGGGAUAACAGCUCGAAAGGGCUGCUAAUACCGGAUAUGCCUAUAGCCUCGGCAUGGGGCUAUGAGCAAAGGGGAAACCCGCCUUGAGAUGGGCCCGCGUCCCAUCAGCUAGUUGGUGAGGUGAAGGCUCACCAAGGCGACGACGGGUAGCCGGCCUGAGAGGGUGACCGGCCACACUGGGACUGAGACCACGGCCCAGACUCCUACGGGGGGCAGCAGUGGGGAAUCUUGCACAAUGGGCGAAAGCCUGAUGCAGCGACGCCGCGUGAGCGAAGAAGGCCUUCGGGUUGUAAAGCUCUGUCUGGAGGGACGAAGAAAGUGACGGUACCUCCGGAGGAAGCCACGGCUAACUACGUG